This 1372-nucleotide ribosomal RNA is filed under the name uncultured bacterium. RNAcentral describes it as "partial 16S ribosomal RNA". It matches the Rfam family "Bacterial small subunit ribosomal RNA", at positions 28 to 1381 of the family's 1533-position model. The record is from RNAcentral.
GACGAACGCUGGCGGCGUGCCUAAUACGUGCAAGUAGAACGCUGAAGAGAGGAGCUUGCUCUUCUUGGAUGAGUUGCGAACGGGUGAGUAACGCGUAGGUAACCUGCCUGGUAGCGGGGGAUAACUAUUGGAAACGAUAGCUAAUACCGCAUAAAAUUGAUUAUUGCAUGAUAAUUAAUUGAAAGAUGCAAUUGCAUCACUACCAGAUGGACCUGCGUUGUAUUAGCUAGUUGGUGAGGUAACGGCUCACCAAGGCGACGAUACAUAGCCGACCUGAGAGGGUGAUCGGCCACACUGGGACUGAGACACGGCCCAGACUCCUACGGGAGGCAGCAGUAGGGAAUCUUCGGCAAUGGGGGGAACCCUGACCGAGCAACGCCGCGUGAGUGAAGAAGGUUUUCGGAUCGUAAAGCUCUGUUGUAAGAGAAGAACGGGUGUGAGAGUGGAAAGUUCACACUGUGACGGUAUCUUACCAGAAAGGGACGGCUAACUACGUGCCAGCAGCCGCGGUAAUACGUAGGUCCCGAGCGUUGUCCGGAUUUUAUUGGGCGUAAAGCGAGCGCAGGCGGUUAGACAAGUCUGAAGUUAAAGGCUGUGGCUUAACCAUAGUAUGCUUUGGAAACUGUUUAACUUGAGUGCAGAAGGGGAGAGUGGAAUUCCAUGUGUAGCGGUGAAAUGCGUACAUAUAUGGAGGAACACCGGUGGCGAGGGCAGGUCUCUGGGCAGUAACUGACGCUGAGGAGCGAAAGCAUGGGUAGCGAACAGGAUUAGAUACCUUGGUAGUCCAUGCCGUAAACGGUGGGCGCUAGGUGUGGGGAUCUUCCACGAUUUCCGUGCCGUAGCUAACGCAUUAAGCGCCCCGCCUGGGGAGUACGGCCGCAAGGCUAAAACUCAAAGGAAUUGACGGGGGCCCGCACAAGCGGCGGAGCAUGUGGAUUAAUUCGAUGCAACGCGAAGAACCUUACCUGGGCUUGACAUGGGCAGGACCGGUGUGGAGACACGUCUUCCCUUUUGGGCUUGUUCACAGGUGGUGCAUGGUUGUCGUCAGCUCGUGUCGUGAGAUGUUGGGUUAAGUCCCGCAACGAGCGCAACCCUUGUCUUGUGUUGCCAGCACGUAAUGGUGGGGACUCGCGAGAGACUGCCGGGGUUAACUCGGAGGAAGGUGGGGAUGACGUCAAAUCAUCAUGCCCCUUAUGUCCAGGGCUUCACACAUGCUACAAUGGUCGGUACAGUGGGUUGCGAUGCCGCGAGGCUCAGCUAAUCCCUUAAAGCCGGUCUCAGUUCGGAUUGGAGUCUGCAACUCGACUCCAUGAAGUCGGAGUCGCUAGUAAUCGCAGAUCAGCAACGCUGCGGUGAAUACGUUCCCGGGCCU